This 86-nucleotide non-coding RNA is filed under the name Clostridium sp. Its description in RNAcentral is "SAM-I sequence". It matches the Rfam family "SAM riboswitch aptamer (S box leader)". Rfam says of the family: The SAM riboswitch is found upstream of a number of genes which code for proteins involved in methionine or cysteine biosynthesis in Gram-positive bacteria. The SAM riboswitch acts at the level of transcription termination control. Lineage: Bacteria; Bacillati; Bacillota; Clostridia; Eubacteriales; Clostridiaceae. RNAcentral also lists the same sequence under 1 other name. The record is from RNAcentral.
AACCUAUGAAGAGUACGCGAGGGACAAGCCCUGUGACCGUACGGCAACCUGCCAAUGGUAAGGUGCCAAAGCUUGAUCGAUGGGAU